UCUACCUUUCGAAACCAGACAAGGUAAAUAUGUCAUAACCCUGGUUAAAUAGCUAUGGUAUUCAAUUUAGUCUAAAGACAUGAUACCUAGCCAGGAUAGGAAUAUUCAACUUCAAAACAGGUUUUAAUUAGGAAAGGCGUAGUUUUCUAGUUAUAUAUCUAUAUCUACAUCUAUGUGUAUAUGUUACACUUGUGUAUAAGACUUUAGAAGAACCAACAUGUAACACAUGCACGGUCACCUUUCCUGAAGAUACCUAUGAAUGUCUUAGCGUCGAAGUCAUCUCUGUUACAUUUCUUCUCCAACUGAACAACAAUAUGAAAUCCAUUCAUAGAGCUUUGUUUGCUGCUUUUGCCUUACUACUCUUUCACUUACUCAUCUGUUCUCCACUGUCCCUCCACUGUUGGAGCAACACUCAUUCAAGAGUUAGAAAUCAACCGAGGAGAUUGCUAGGUUCUUUUGCUUCUAUUUCUGCGAAUCUAAACAAGUUGAGUAGAGCCAUUCAAGACCCAAAGAAAGCUGUGGAGACAAGUUUAAGGAAAGCACCGCCGAGUGCUUCAAAUCCCACCCAAAACAGGAAUUUUGAGGAGAUUGGAGUUACUCUGACCAUAACAAGGAUAAUCACGAGUAACUUCAAUGGAUCUUAGCUAACUUGUAGGCAUAUUCCUCAAGAGCAUUAGAACAUGUGGCGUAAAUACUAGACUACUUUAGAUGUAAUGGACAUCCACAACAUAUGGGAGAAGAUUUACGAAGAAUGCUUCAAGGAUCUAUUAAGGGAUAAAUGCGAGAAGGCCAAUAAGGACACAAGUAACCUUGAAGUCGAUAUCCUAAUAACGAAGGGUAAGCCAUGACCUUGGAUCACUGUAGAGGUAUGGGACCAGUUAGUUGAUAAUAUAUGGUCCACAUUUGAGUGGCAGGCACA
This is a non-coding RNA of Theobroma umbraticum, 919 nucleotides long. The record is from RefSeq and is a predicted model, not a curated record. Lineage: Eukaryota; Viridiplantae; Streptophyta; Magnoliopsida; Malvales; Malvaceae.